AUUGAACGCUGGCGGCAUGCCUUACACAUGCAAGUCGAACGGUAACAGGUCUUCGGAUGCUGACGAGUGGCGAACGGGUGAGUAAUACAUCGGAACGUGCCUAGUAGUGGGGGAUAACUACUCGAAAGAGUGGCUAAUACCGCAUGAGAUCUACGGAUGAAAGCAGGGGAUCGCAAGACCUUGUGCUACUAGAGCGGCCGAUGGCAGAUUAGGUAGUUGGUGGGAUAAAAGCUUACCAAGCCGACGAUCUGUAGCUGGUCUGAGAGGACGAUCAGCCACACGGGGACUGGGACACGGCCCAGACUCCUGCGGGAGGCAGCGGUGGGGAAUUUUGGUCAAGGGGCGAAAGCCUGAUCCAGCAAUGCCGCGUGCAGGAUGAAGGCCUUCGGGUUGUAAACUGCUUUUGUACGGAACGAAAAGCCCCGGGUUAAUACCCUGGGGUCAUGACGGUACCGUAAGAAUAAGCACCGGCUAACUACGUGCCAGCAGCCGCCGUAA
Molecule: ribosomal RNA, 498 nt
Filed under: uncultured bacterium
Lineage: Bacteria
Description: partial 16S ribosomal RNA
Rfam family: Bacterial small subunit ribosomal RNA
Source: RNAcentral